CCCAGACUCCUACGGGAGGCAGCAGUGGGGAAUAUUGCGCAAUGGGCGAAAGCCUGACGCAGCGACGCCGCGUGAGGGAUGGAGGUCUUCGGAUCGUAAACCUCUGUCAGCAGGGAAGAACGGUCACUGUGCUAAUCAGCAGUGAAUUGACGGUACCUGCAAAGGAAGCACCGGCUAACUCCGUGCCAGCAGCCGCGGUAAUACGGAGGGUGCGAGCGUUAUCCGGAUUUACUGGGUGUAAAGGGAGCGUAGACGGCAUGGCAAGUCAGAUGUGAAAGCCCGGGGCUCAACCCCGGGACUGCUUUUGAAACUGUCAAACUAGAGUACGGGAGAGGUAAGAGGAAUUCCUAGUGUAGCGGUGAAAUGCGUAGAUAUUAGGAGGAACACCAGUGGCGAAGGCGACUUACUGGACGGUAACUGACGUUGAGGCACGAAAGUGUGGGGAGCAAACAGGAUUAGAUACCCGAGUACCG
Molecule: ribosomal RNA, 473 nt
Filed under: uncultured bacterium
Lineage: Bacteria
Description: bacterial SSU rRNA
Rfam family: Bacterial small subunit ribosomal RNA
Source: RNAcentral